Aplysia californica (California sea hare) is the source of this 361-nucleotide long non-coding RNA. RefSeq lists it as uncharacterized. NCBI's taxonomy places the organism in Eukaryota, Metazoa, Mollusca, Gastropoda, Aplysiida, Aplysiidae. The transcript has 2 exons. The record is from RefSeq and is a predicted model, not a curated record.
GCGACUGCGCCUCAAGGGUCGCGUCGGUCGCGUUUUCACGAUUCAAAGAUUGGUAGGCCUACGAUCAACGAUCCAUAAGCAACGACCCAAACAAUGACACUGUGGGAUGAGGAACGGAGAAGGAAUGCCAAGGAUAAGCGCUCAGUGUCAAAGCUUUGUUUACGUCUUUAAAUGGGGUAAUAGAAGCAAAUAACAGUACACCCGACGAUACUCUAUCUUUGAUAGUAGUACAACACACCAGGAACCUGAAUCAUCAUGUACCGUAGCAUACAAUCUUUGGCUUUUCGGAUUCGAUUCCAAAGCAUACUACAUAUGCAGCAAGGAGAUCAUCUUUCAAAGCAUUAAAACCUGUUCCAAUGUG